Molecule: transfer RNA, 82 nt
Filed under: Treponema sp.
Lineage: Bacteria; Pseudomonadati; Spirochaetota; Spirochaetia; Treponematales; Treponemataceae
Description: tRNA-Leu
Rfam family: tRNA
About the family: Transfer RNA (tRNA) molecules are approximately 80 nucleotides in length.
Source: RNAcentral
GCGGCCUUGGUGGAACUGGUAGACACGCUAGCUUGAGGUGCUAGUGCGGAGACGCAUGGAAGUUCAAGUCUUCUAGGCCGCA